RNAcentral lists this long non-coding RNA (1757 nucleotides) under Sorghum bicolor (sorghum). RNAcentral's name for it is "long non-coding RNA (SBIC_LNC015827)". Lineage: Eukaryota; Viridiplantae; Streptophyta; Magnoliopsida; Poales; Poaceae. The record is from RNAcentral.
GGCCAAGGGGUCUGGUUUUAUAGUCCCCUCAGGUAAACGUGGGCUGUUGGAUCAAACCGACAUUGAUUGAACGGUUAUCCUUGAUCCUUUAGGUCUGUGGAGCGUGAUCCGCGUAGAGAGUCCUGAUUGGACUCCAGAGGGGGGCGGGCGCCCUAGGCCAGGCCCAGUUCGGUCUCCGCUUUGUUCCCGUGGCUUCUGGAGUCUUAUUGACGGUAGAAAAUUGCGCGGUGCGUUGAUAUCUCUAUGUAAUCCCGACAUGUGGGUCUUUCUUCCUUAUUUCCUGAUAACCCCCUGCAGAAACAGAUAAACAACAAAACUCGUGGAAUUCUGUCAGAUCAAACCCUAAUUCUAGGUAUUGUUUGCAUAUUGGUCAUUUCUCUUGUUUAUUUGAUAAUUAAAAUUGAUACUUAAGAACCAUCAACAAAUACCCCCAUACUUAGGCUUUUACUCAUCCUCGAGAAAAGGAUGGUUAAGAAAAAUAUCUGGGGUAAAACAUUGUAAAGCAUUCUCUUCAUACCUGCAGGGUGUUGUAAAAAUUCACUGUGUACCGUAGUCAGGGAACUAUAUUGUUAAGAGCAGAGAUCCUUUCUUCCUAUCAAUCCUAUCACUUGGAGUUUGUAUAUUUUUGAUAAGAAAUUUAGCAUACCUUUAUCCUCAUAGGGUCUCUCAGGUCACUCAUUAUCUUUUAUAUAUCUCACUGAGGUUGUCUUAAUUUGCAAAAAUUCUCAAGCAUACUUACUUUGCAUUUAUUGUCUGAUCAAAACAGGAUCCGAGGAGAGGAAUGCCAUACUCCUAGGUCAAAGACUUUGGAAAUUAAAAAGUCAUCAACUCUUGCUGGCAUAUUGCUUAUUAGAGGGACCAUGGGCUAUUAUUUUCUUUCUUUUUCUCUUUUUUUAAGUGGAUACCAAGGUACCCCUACUUCUACUGCCAGACACUUGUCCAUUUUUUUUUGCGAGGUUAUCGAGCACUUGCUCCCUUUUAUUUCCUCGAAAUAUCCUUAUUUUUGCAUAGCCCAUGCCUCUAAUGCAAUAAUACUUCAGAAGAGUGAAUCUUUCUGAAUAAAUGUCUUGAUCUUAGGAGUAUGAUAAAUCUCUCAACGUCUAACUCAUUUUGAACAAACUCAAUACAGAGUAGAUAGCUUUUAUAAUUAUCUUGUUAAUAUUUUCAGGUUUAUCAGGCAUAUAAAACACUGAGGAUGGUAGCUAGAAUUUUUGAAUAAAUUCUCUAAGCAACAAUGAUAUUAAGAAUAAGAAACUCAUACUCUACCAUCUCACAUUCCACAAUGACUUAAGUAACAGAGGGUUUUAAAAUAUUUUUUCAAUAAAUGCAGGGUUUCAGGAAAUACCACAGAGUGAGAUUAAUCAUGAUAAGAAACAUUUUAAUCUUUUUAAUUUAUCAUGUUGGAGACAAUAUUUUGCAUAAUCCAAGAUAUAUGUGUAUGUAUAAAGUGUGCAGAGUAUGUACCUGAAUUGUGGAGUGGUGUAGUCGAAGUGUGUUUGGCAUGUCGAGGGAUCUCUCCCAUACUUGUUUUUUGCUUUCUUGUAUAAAAAUAAAGUGGAGACACACAAGAGAUAAUAACAAUAAUAAUACUCUUUAUUAAUCUUGAGGCAUUUAUUACAAAUGACUAGUAGCAAACUGACGAUAAUAGUAAAUCUAAACCGAAUUUAAAGAUAAAUAACUAAGAUGCAUUGCCUCAAGAUCUAAUCUAGAUAACUUAGCGGCGCUAUAACUCCUUGAUCUUCUUAUUGGCACUAGCA